GCACUCAUGACCUGAAACACGGGUGCCGGCACCCAGGCUGGAACUGAACUGGGUUUGCAUCUUGAAGGCAGGCACAUUUCCCAAGAAAAAUAAAAUGGCAGCCUGGGUUUGAAAAGCUGACAUCCUCCGCACACCACAGCCAUCCUUCUGGAGCAAAACCAGCUGAGACCGCACCAGCCCCACGGAACGGCUGCCCGCGACAGAUAAAGGGCCCAGAAGCCGUUUCUGACCAUUGUGUUUGCCUCCAGGGAAGAGAAACACCGAUGUUCCCACCCCCCACACCCGGCUACUUAUGGGAGGGAGGAAGGGAAGCAAACUCACCUAACAUCUCUUCCUUUAGUCUUUCGUUUCGUUCUUCGAUUUGCUUAGGUAAUCUCUGAGGGGAAAGAGGAGAAACGGGUCGG
Phyllostomus discolor (pale spear-nosed bat) is the source of this 404-nucleotide long non-coding RNA. RefSeq lists it as uncharacterized. The transcript has 2 exons. The record is from RefSeq and is a predicted model, not a curated record. Lineage: Eukaryota; Metazoa; Chordata; Mammalia; Chiroptera; Phyllostomidae.